Molecule: ribosomal RNA, 483 nt
Filed under: uncultured bacterium
Lineage: Bacteria
Description: partial 16S ribosomal RNA
Rfam family: Bacterial small subunit ribosomal RNA
Source: RNAcentral
GACGAACGCUGGCGGCGUGCUUAACACAUGCAAGUCGAACGGGGUCCAUGGAAGCUUGCUUCCGGAAGAUCUAGUGGCGAACGGGUGCGUAACACGUGAGGAACCUGCCCCGAACUUGGGAAUAACAGUCGGAAACGACUGCUAAUACCGAAUACCUUCGAACCGUCGCAUGGCGGAUCGAAGAAAGCUUUCGCGGUUCGGGGGGGCCUCGCGGCCUAUCAGCUAGUUGGUGAGGUAACGGCUCACCAAGGCAUCGACGGGUAGCUGGUCUGAGAGGAUGAUCAGCCACACUGGGACUGAGACACGGCCCAGACUCCUACGGGAGGCAGCAGUGGGGAAUAUUGCACAAUGGGCGAAAGCCUGAUGCAGCAACGCCGCGUGCGGGAAGAAGGCCCUAGGGUUGUAAACCGCUUUCAGCAGGGAAGAAACUGACGGUACCUGCAGAAGAAGGUGCGGCCAACUACGUGCCAGCCGCCGCGGUAA